GGAAUGGGCAUCAAUACUGGUGAGACAUCCUUACCUUUACCUUAUAUCAUUAUAAGCUCAUUUCUCUACAACUAUUGGUUUCUGAGAUACCUUACCAUCUGUCACUAGUAUUUUAUUUUUAGUUUUGACUAUAUCAUCAGCAUCCAUAGUAUCAUUUCUCACAUCAUCAACCACAUGCAUAGGUAGAUCUAUAGUAUCCUUACCCCUCUGAGUGGUGAUAGAUAGGCAGUGACUAUCCAUUUUUUGAUUCGAAAUAAUUUUUCUUGGAAGUGUACUCGGC
Molecule: long non-coding RNA, 280 nt
Filed under: Capsicum annuum
Lineage: Eukaryota; Viridiplantae; Streptophyta; Magnoliopsida; Solanales; Solanaceae
Description: long non-coding RNA (CANN_LNC008012)
Source: RNAcentral